RNAcentral lists this ribosomal RNA (304 nucleotides) under uncultured bacterium. Its description in RNAcentral is "bacterial SSU rRNA". It matches the Rfam family "Bacterial small subunit ribosomal RNA", at positions 32 to 334 of the family's 1533-position model. The record is from RNAcentral.
AACGACGCUGGCGGCGCGUUUUAAGCAUGCAAGUCGAGCGGUAAGCUAACUUCGGUUAGCCUAGAGCGGCGGACGGGUGAGUAACGCGUGGGCAACCUGCCCUGUACAGAGGGAUAGCCACUGGAAACGGUGAUUAAUACCUCAUAUUACUGGAAAAUCGCAUGAUUAACCAGUGAAAGCUCCGGCGGUACAGGAUGGGCCCGCGUCUGAUUAGCUAGUUGGUAAGGUAACGGCUUACCAAGGCGACGAUCAGUAGCCGACCUGAGAGGGUGAUCGGCCACACUGGAACUGAGACACGGUCCAG